RNAcentral lists this unclassified non-coding RNA (359 nucleotides) under fungal sp. RNAcentral describes it as "partial internal transcribed spacer region". The stretch from base 1 to 44 matches the Rfam family "Eukaryotic small subunit ribosomal RNA", at positions 1788 to 1831 of the family's 1831-position model. The record is from RNAcentral. Lineage: Eukaryota; Fungi.
GUCGUAACAAGGUUUCCGUAGGUGAACCUGCGGAAGGAUCAUUACCACACCGAUCCAAGAUCUUUGUCACCGUGAAGCUGUAGUCUCGUUCAAACACGGGCUCGUAAUUGGAGGGAUGUGUGUGGCUUUUACCGCUGCAGGCAUCCCUUCGGCUCGGCCUGUGGGACUACAAUCAUAAAGUGCUAGUGCUGGAAACAGCGCUGGUGCGAACCCCCGUCAAUUUACGACGUUCACUGGUCUUGACCCAACACACUGAACCUAAAAGGGUUGUCGCUGGUGGUCCGCUGGUCGGGUCAUUGGUGCAGCUCGACAAACUGUAAAAUCAUUACAACUUUCAGCGAUGGAUGUCUAGGUUCCCA